Molecule: long non-coding RNA, 2549 nt
Organism: Anolis carolinensis (green anole)
Lineage: Eukaryota; Metazoa; Chordata; Lepidosauria; Squamata; Anolidae
Source: Ensembl
AUGGAGAUUUCAGAACUCUUGUUGCAAAACAGAACUAAAGAUCCCAAAGAUACUCUGGCUCUAGGACUUUUUUCUUCUCCUUUUUGUGGGGAAGGAAGAGGAUUUUAAAUGCACCAAAUCUCGAUGUCGUCGGGCUGUUUCAAAGUGCUCCCAGAAAGAGGGAACGAGGAGGAUUUUAAAUGCACCAAAUCUCGAUGUCGUCGGGCUGUUUCAAAGUGCUCCCAGAAAGAGGGAACGAGGAGGGUUCCAAAUGCACCACGAUCUCAAAGUCCUCGGCGUCAGAGAAUAUGCUGCUGGUGUGUCAAGGCAGGGCUGGUUGUCUGCACCGCUACUCACAACGUGCGCCAUGAGCUGGGUUCCUCGGGGUUCCUCGGGGCCGGCGUCUCCCUCAACUACGGAGUUAUGCGGAGGAGGAGGAGUCGGGUGCCUCGCUCCCUCGAUGUGCGCAAACACACACACAACAGACACACACACAUCCCCCACAGCUCUGGCGUUGUUCUCCCCGGCAGAGGGUUUCGUUUUCUGUUUGUUUAGGGAGUCUUGAAUAUUGUGGCGCCGUACUUGACGCGGUACUUGUUGAUGCUGACAAAGUGCAGGUCCUCGGCGUUGCAGGUGGUGGUGCAAGGGACCAGGCCCUCCAGGCCCUCGCCCAUCAGCCACUUGUUCGUCUCGGCCGCCAUCUCGCGGGUCACGUGCUCCUUGGUCCAUCGGUCGACCCAGGCCUGGAAGCGCUGGUGCAGACGCUUGCUCACCCGUUCGUGCGACUGGAAGGGAAGAAAAAGCAAGACGAAACUUUAGUUUUAGUUCUUGGGGAUGCUGGGCGAUCAAACUAGAAAGGAAGCAAGGAAGACUCCGACAAUACACGUCCACGAGAAUCACUCUAUGUGCAGAGACCGACAGGGACUAGUUAUCCCAGAAAUGGACCAAUUUCGGGCCCUCCUCCAGGUGUUUUGGACUUCCAACUCCCACAAUUCCUAACAUGCCUGAGUUAUCCCAACAUUACAGCACUUUAGUAAUGGUAAAGGUUUCCCGCAGAUAUUCAGUCCAGUCGUGUCCGACUCUGGGGGUUUCUGCUCAUCUCCAUUUCUAAGCCGAAGAGCCGGCGUUGUCCGUAGACACCUCCAACGUCAUGUGGCCAUUGGCAUGACUGCAUGGAGCGCCGUUACCUUCCUGCCAAUAGGAGCGGUACCUAUUGAUCUACUCACAUUGGCAUGUUUUCGAACUGCUAGGUUGGCAGCGGAAGCUUACUCCGCUCCCAGGAUUUGAACCGCUGACCUUUCAGUCCACAAGUUCAGCAGCUCAGCGCUUUAACACACUGCACCACCAGGAGCUCCAAGGUGGCUUUACUAUUAUUAUUACAGUAGAGUCUCACUUAUCCAAGCUAAACGGGCUGGCAGAACCUUGGAUAAGCAAAUAUCUUGGAUAAUAAGGAUGAAUUAAGGAAAAGCCUAUUAAACAUCAAUUUAGGUUAUAAUUUUACAAAUUAAGCACCAAAACAUCAUGUUAUACAACAAAUUUAACAGAAAAAGUAGUACAAUACGCACUAAUGUUAUGUUGUAGUUACUGUAUUUAUGAAUUUAGCACCAAAAUGUCACGAUAUAUUGAAAACAUUGACUACAAAAAUGCCUUGGAUAAUCUAGAACCUUUGAUAAGUGAGUCUUGGAUAAGUGAGACUCUACUGUAUUAUUAUUAUCAUUAUUAUGCCUCACCAAACUACAAAUCUCAGGAUUACAUAGCAUCGAGCCCUAAUAAUUAAAUUACAGAUGGCAUCCCUCAAAGAGGAGCUCCAAGUGCAGAUCCUGAAGCAGCUUCCCCUAUUUCUUCAACUCAGCACUAAGAUAAUAAUAAUAAUAAUAAUAAUAAUAAUAAUAAUAAUAAUAAUUCUUUAUUUGUACCCUGUCACCAUCUCCCCAGCGGGACUCAGGGCGGCUCAGAGAAGCACUAUAGUGCCGUAUAUAUAUACAAUUAUUUAUUUUUUAUUUACAGUAUUUAUAUUCCUCCCUUCUCACCCCAAAGGGGACUCAGGGCAGAUCACAAUGUACAUGUAUAUGGCAAACAUUCAAUGCCAUUAGACAAACAACAGACAGACAGACAGACACAGAGGCUAUUUAACUUCCCAGCUUCUGGCUUUGAGAGUGUAUUCUCGAUUCCGGCCACAGGAGGAGCUGCUGCUUCAUCAUCCACUGUGACGCUGAGUCCUUUUUUGAUGGAGUACUUCCUCAUCCGGUGUUGUAAAUAAGUUAAAUUAGCCUCCCCGCAUAAGCAGUCCCUAAAUUUUCCUACUUGACAGAUGCAACUGUUUUUCGGGUUGCUUAGGUCAACAACGAGCAGGGCUAUUUUUUAUUUUAAUGGUCGGGUGCUCUCUCUGACAUGGGCUGGCCUCGAACUCAUAGUGAUUUAUUGCAGCUGGCUACUAACCAGCCUGCGCCACAGCCCGGCCCAUACGAAGUACAAAAGUAUAAAUAUAUGAUGUAAAUAUAAAAGCAACAAUUCCUGUAAAAUGCCAGUAAAAAUAGCAAGAAUUAUACUUUGAUAGUGGCCUACCUGGU